Molecule: non-coding RNA, 1887 nt
Organism: Camellia sinensis
Lineage: Eukaryota; Viridiplantae; Streptophyta; Magnoliopsida; Ericales; Theaceae
Source: RefSeq, a predicted model, not a curated record
UGCUCUCAUUUUCACAUGGUCACUCCCUUUGUUUCAAGGAGAAAGAGCACGUCUCCAUCAUUUUACACUCUCUGUGGUUCAGUCUCCGUGGAAGAUCUCCAAGAUGUGGAUCACAAUGAGCUCACGAUCUCGACCGAAGAUGGGUUCUCUAAGAUAUUCAAUAGUCUAUGACUACUUGAUCGUCAGAUUUGCAUAUGUAGUAGUAGGCGUUGUCAAGCCAUCUCAAUUGAGGUAUUUUCGUUUUAACUCGCCAAUUCUUGGCUUAGAUCACUAUUUUGUUUUGCAUUUUUAGGAUUUUGCAUGUUCUACAACAUUUUAUUAUUUAUUUUUUAUGUGAUUCUUUGUAACUCCAUGCUUUAAUUCGAGAGAAUCAGAUAUUGAAGUAGUUAAUGCUUCUCUAUUCUAUACCUUAUUUAUUUAUUGUCUUGUUUAUUGUUGUUAUAGUUUCCUUUGAAAGUUCUAUAUAAUCCAUGGAGAAAAUGUCCCAGGAAGUUGAAAUUUGAAGUUGCUUACUAUUUUUGUUUAGUUUCAAUACAAGGCAAUUGCUUGUUGUUUAUGACAUUGACAAUAGGCUGCAAGCAAGAAUAAUGAUGUGGAUUUAGUUUAUUUUAUUGGAAGUAAUUUUUUAAUUGAGCAGGUGAAUUAGAACUUCAUGUUUCCCCUUUUAUUUUGAAAUUUGCAAAUUUGCAUCCAUAGGGGAUGCAUUCGAACUUAUGUUGCACAAUACUGAUCUUGGAAAUCGUUGGAAGCCAUUAAGAAGAUCUCAAAAUAUGCUGCUCAGAAUAUAGUGGGCAAAUUACAUGGUAUGAAUUCAAAUUCCUCUAUUCGACCUUUGAUCCCCUUUUUACUCUAUUUACCCGUGUUAUACUUGUGUUGUUUCAUUUAUUUGUUUCCGUUUUUGCUCCAUUUUUCCUCUUUAAUUAUGUUUCGAGUAUUGUUUAAUUUAGGUAGAGAAUUCAUAUAAUCUAUUUAAAUUAUGAUUUGUUGAAUUCUAGAAUUAGAGCUUUCAACCUAAUUUAUUGAAUUUAUUUAUAGGUGAUUCUUUACGCCAAAAAAUAAAAUAAAAAUUCCUUUCACUUUAUAUAUUAUUGCAUCUUUGGGUUUGUGCAUAUAAGUAUCAAAUUAUUGCCAAUUGGUCACAAUCUGGUCACAAUCUCAUUCAAGCUCUAUAUUCGAUGAUUGAUUUAUUCAUUUGCAUAACCCAUAUUUGUAUUUGCUCAUUCUUCUUGUUCAUGGACUUUUUGGUUUUAAUUUGUUAGAUUUGAUGUGUUCUGUGGUGAAAUAGCUAUUCAUGAUUCCUUUUGUGCGUGCUUUUGGUAAGAAUUAUAUUGUCCUUGCUUAAAAUUGUGGAGACUAUAGGUGAAAGUGUGACUAAUCUCCAACUAGGCUCAAUGGCAAUUGUUCAUUCUCAGGGCAGUUCCUUCACUAGACCGACAACAUUGGUCUUUGAGGAUCGUCUUGCCAAAUUGUCUGAUGGACUUGAUGCUUGAACAGCACACAGUGAAGCAUAAACAAGAAGAUGAAAGGAGAAUCGUCUCGGCUAAUCAUUGGGAUCUCCGUAGGGAUAGUAAUUGGCGUGCUUUUGGCUAUAAUGGAACGGUUUUGCAUUACCAUAGACGACGCUAACAGAUAUGGAAUAGUAGUUCUCGGAGGAUGGCAACCAUCCCUAUUCGUACUAAUGGUGUUGAUUCUUGUACAGUAUUAUCAAAUCCUUCUGCUAGUAUGGAAUCACCCAGAAUAUCUGUGUAGAAUGGCAUGUCUUUGUGGCUUGGAGUUGGAGGACUUAAAAGGGCUAAUAUGGUUUCUGCAUCUAGAAUGCUUUUAUCUAAGAUUCUUCGUUCAUCUUUUGAGCAUGUAUCUUAACAAGCAUUGUAAUGUUUUCUUUAA